This 565-nucleotide ribosomal RNA is filed under the name Phenoliferia psychrophenolica. RNAcentral's name for it is "partial large subunit ribosomal RNA". It matches the Rfam family "Eukaryotic large subunit ribosomal RNA", at positions 1 to 576 of the family's 3401-position model. The record is from RNAcentral. Lineage: Eukaryota; Fungi; Basidiomycota; Microbotryomycetes; Kriegeriales; Kriegeriaceae.
UUAGACCUCAGAUCAGGCAGGAUUACCCGCUGAACUUAAGCAUAUCAAUAAGCGGAGGAAAAGAAACUAACAAGGAUUCCCCUAGUAACGGCGAGUGAAGCGGGAAGAGCUCAAAUUUGUAAUCUGGCACCUUCGGUGUCCGAGUUGUAAUCUCGAGAAGUGUUUUCCGCGCCGGACCGCAUACAAGUCUGUUGGAAUACAGCGUCAUAGUGGUGAGAACCCCGUAACUGAUGCGGAUGCCCGGUGCUUUGUGAUACACUUUCGAAGAGUCGAGUUGUUUGGGAAUGCAGCUCAAAUUGGGUGGUAAAUUCCAUCUAAAGCUAAAUAUUGGCGAGAGACCGAUAGCGAACAAGUACCGUGAGGGAAAGAUGAAAAGCACUUUGGAAAGAGAGUUAACAGUACGUGAAAUUGUUGGAAGGGAAACGCUUGAAGUCAGACUUGCUAUUUGGAAUUCAGCCGCAAGGUGUACUUUUCAAUUCGCAGGCCAGCAUCAGUUUUCGGGGGUGGAAAAGGGUAGAGAGAAGGUAGCAAUUUCGGUUGUGUUAUAGCUCUUUGCUGGAUUCAU